UCAUCUUUAUUAUACCUAUUUCCUUUGAUGAUUAGUAUUGAUUUUAUGUGGAUAUAUGAUUGGACAAGAAAUGCUAAGCAAGAGAUUUUAUGCUUUGGUUCGCCAAUCAAGGUAAAGCCUUAAUUUCUUAUUUAAUUAUUUAAUUUUGAAAUAGAAAUGAUAGAAAAUUAGAUUUAAGAUUUGUUUAGAUAUUAGAGCU
Molecule: long non-coding RNA, 199 nt
Filed under: Elaeis guineensis (African oil palm)
Lineage: Eukaryota; Viridiplantae; Streptophyta; Magnoliopsida; Arecales; Arecaceae
Description: long non-coding RNA (EGUI_LNC009636)
Source: RNAcentral